RNAcentral lists this ribosomal RNA (400 nucleotides) under uncultured bacterium. RNAcentral's name for it is "bacterial SSU rRNA". It matches the Rfam family "Bacterial small subunit ribosomal RNA", at positions 28 to 430 of the family's 1533-position model. The record is from RNAcentral.
GACGAACGCUGGCGGCGUGCUUAACACAUGCAAGUCGAGCGGUAAGGCCCUUUCGGGGGUACACGAGCGGCGAACGGGUGAGUAACACGUGGGUGACCUGCCCUCAGCUCUGGGAUAAGCCUGGGAAACCGGGUCUAAUACUGGAUAUGACUCCAUGACGCAUGUUGUGGGGUGGAAAGCCUUGUGCGGCUGAGGAUGGGCCCGCGGCCUAUCAGCUUGUUGGUGGGGUGAUGGCCUACCAAGGCGACGACGGGUAGCCGGCCUGAGAGGGCGACCGGCCACACUGGGACUGAGACACGGCCCAGACUCCUACGGGAGGCAGCAGUGGGGAAUCUUGCGCAAUGGGCGAAAGCCUGACGCAGCGACGCCGCGUGAGGGAUGACGGCCUCGGUGUAACUAC